AGUCUACGGGAGGCAGCAGUGGGGGGUAUUGCGCAAUGGGCGGAAGCCUGACGCAGCGACGCCGCGUGAGGGACGGAGGCCUUCGGGUUGUGAACCUCUUUCGCCGGUGGAGAAGGCGCCCCCGUGUGGGGUGCUGACUGUAGCCGGGUAAAGAAGCGCCGGCUAACUACGUGCCAGCAGCCGCGGUAAUGACU
RNAcentral lists this ribosomal RNA (194 nucleotides) under uncultured bacterium. Its description in RNAcentral is "partial 16S ribosomal RNA". It matches the Rfam family "Bacterial small subunit ribosomal RNA", at positions 335 to 527 of the family's 1533-position model. The record is from RNAcentral.